GCUGGAGUAGCUCAGCUGGUAGAGCAUGUGCAUGGUAAGCACAAGGUCACCGGUUCAAUCCCGGUCUCCAGCU
RNAcentral lists this transfer RNA (73 nucleotides) under Candidatus Omnitrophota bacterium. RNAcentral's name for it is "Candidatus Omnitrophica bacterium (groundwater metagenome) tRNA-Thr". It matches the Rfam family "tRNA". From Rfam's summary of the family: Transfer RNA (tRNA) molecules are approximately 80 nucleotides in length. Their secondary structure includes four short double-helical elements and three loops (D, anti-codon, and T loops). Further hydrogen bonds mediate the characteristic L-shaped molecular structure. tRNAs have two regions of fundamental functional importance: the anti-codon, which is responsible for specific mRNA codon recognition, and the 3' end, to which the tRNAs corresponding amino acid is attached (by aminoacyl-tRNA synthetases). tRNAs cope with the degeneracy of the genetic code in two manners: having more than one tRNA (with a specific anti-codon) for a particular amino acid; and 'wobble' base-pairing, i.e. permitting non-standard base-pairing at the 3rd anti-codon position. The record is from RNAcentral. Lineage: Bacteria; Pseudomonadati; Candidatus Omnitrophota.